This 253-nucleotide ribosomal RNA is filed under the name uncultured bacterium. RNAcentral describes it as "partial 16S ribosomal RNA". It matches the Rfam family "Bacterial small subunit ribosomal RNA", at positions 524 to 776 of the family's 1533-position model. The record is from RNAcentral.
UACGAGUGCCUCAAGCGUUAUCCGGAAUCAUUGGGCGUAAAGGUUGUGUAGGUGGUUAUAUUAGUCUUUUGUUAAAUUCUUCGGCUUAACCGGGGGCAUGCAAAGGAAACGGUAUGACUAGAGGAUGCGAGGGGUCUGCGGAACUCAUAGUGUAGCGGUGAAAUGCGUUGAUAUUAUGGGGAACACCAAAAGCGAAGGCAGCAGACUGGAGCACUCCUGACACUGAAACAAGAAAGCGUGGGUCGCGAAUGGG